AGCGAACGCUGGUGGCAGGCUUAACACAUGCAAGUCGAACGCCUCGCAAGGGGAGUGGCAGACGGGUGAGUAACACGUGGGAACGUACCCUUUGGUUCGGAAUAACUUGGGGAAACUCAAGCUAAUACCGGAUAAGCCCUUAUGGGGAAAGGUUUACUGCCGAAGGAUCGGCCCGCGUCUGAUUAGCUAGUCGGUGAGGUAAUGGCUCACCAAGGCGACGAUCGGUAGCUGGUCUGAGAGGAUGAUCAGCCGCACUGGGACUGAGACACGGCCCAGACUCCUACGGGAGGCAGCAGUGGGGAAUAUUGGACAAUGGGGGCAACCCUGAUCCAGCCAUGCCGCGUGAGUGAUGAAGGCCUUAGGGUUGUAAAGCUCUUUUACCCGGGACGAUAAUGACUGUACCGGGAGAAUAAGCCCCGGCUAACUUCGUGCCAGCCGCCGCAGUAA
RNAcentral lists this ribosomal RNA (447 nucleotides) under uncultured bacterium. RNAcentral's name for it is "partial 16S ribosomal RNA". It matches the Rfam family "Bacterial small subunit ribosomal RNA", at positions 29 to 523 of the family's 1533-position model. The record is from RNAcentral.